RNAcentral lists this ribosomal RNA (253 nucleotides) under uncultured bacterium. Its description in RNAcentral is "partial 16S ribosomal RNA". It matches the Rfam family "Bacterial small subunit ribosomal RNA", at positions 524 to 776 of the family's 1533-position model. The record is from RNAcentral.
UACAGAGGGUGCAAGCGUUAAUCGGAAUUACUGGGCGUAAAGCGUGCAUAGACGGUUACAUAAGUCGGGUGUGAAAGCCCCGGGCUCAACCUGGGAAUUGCAUUCGAGACUGCGUAGCUAGGGUGCGGAAGAGGGAAGCGGAAUUUCCGGUGUAGCGGUGAAAUGCGUAGAUAUCGGAAGGAACACCAGUGGCGAAAGCGGCUUCCUGGUCCAGCACCGACGUUCAGGCACGAAAGCGUGGGGAGCAAACAGG